UACGUAUUUUACAAGCGUUGUCCGGAUUUACUGGGCGUAAAGAGCGCGCAGGCGGUCGUUCAAGUCGAGUGUGAAAGCCCCCGGCUCAACUGGGGAGGGUCAUUCGAUACUGAUCGACUCGAAGGCAGGAGAGGGUAGUGGAAUUCCCGGUGUAGUGGUGAAAUGCGUAGAUAUCGGGAGGAACACCAGUGGCGAAGGCGACUACCUGGCCUGUUCUUGACGCUGAGGCGCGAAAGCUAGGGGAGCAAACGGG
RNAcentral lists this ribosomal RNA (253 nucleotides) under uncultured bacterium. RNAcentral describes it as "partial 16S ribosomal RNA". It matches the Rfam family "Bacterial small subunit ribosomal RNA", at positions 524 to 776 of the family's 1533-position model. The record is from RNAcentral.